RNAcentral lists this ribosomal RNA (371 nucleotides) under uncultured bacterium. Its description in RNAcentral is "partial 16S ribosomal RNA". It matches the Rfam family "Bacterial small subunit ribosomal RNA", at positions 355 to 715 of the family's 1533-position model. The record is from RNAcentral.
UGGGGAAUUUUGGACAAUGGGCGAAAAGCCCUGAUCCCAGCAAUGCCGCGUGUGUGAAGAAGGCCUUCGGGUUGUAAAGCACUUUUGUCCGGAAAGAAAUGGCUCUGGUUAAUACCUGGGGUCGAUGACGGUACCGGAAGAAUAAGGACCGGCUAACUACGUGCCAGCAGCCGCGGUAAUACGUAGGGUCCAAGCGUUAAUCGGAAUUACUGGGCGUAAAGCGUGCGCAGGCGGUUGUGCAAGACCGAUGUGAAAUCCCCGAGCUUAACUUGGGAAUUGCAUUGGUGACUGCACGGCUAGAGUGUGUCAGAGGGGGGUAGAAUUCCACGUGUAGCAGUGAAAUGCGUAGAGAUGUGGAGGAAUACCGAUGG